UCCUGUAGAACCACCACACUGGGAAUGUCCGUUCCCAUCUGCCUAAUCUCAGAAUCUAAGCAGGGUUGGGCCUGGUUAGUACUUGGAUGCAAGACUGUUGAGAAUACAAGUUGCCACAAUGA
Molecule: ribosomal RNA, 122 nt
Filed under: Periophthalmus magnuspinnatus
Lineage: Eukaryota; Metazoa; Chordata; Actinopteri; Gobiiformes; Gobiidae
Source: RNAcentral